This 81-nucleotide transfer RNA is filed under the name bacterium. RNAcentral describes it as "tRNA-Leu". It matches the Rfam family "tRNA". Rfam says of the family: Transfer RNA (tRNA) molecules are approximately 80 nucleotides in length. Their secondary structure includes four short double-helical elements and three loops (D, anti-codon, and T loops). The record is from RNAcentral.
GGGCGGGUGGUGAAAUGGCAGACACGCCAGCCUUAGGAGCUGGUGCCGCAAGGCAUGGAGGUUCGAGUCCUCUCCCGCCCA